CAGCCGCCGCGGUAAUACGUAGGGUGCGAGCGUUAAUCGGAAUUACUGGGCGUAAAGCGUGUGCAGGCGGUUAUAUAAGACUGAUGUGAAAUCCGGGCUCAACCUGGGACCUGCAUUUGAGACUGUAUAGCUAGAGUACGGUAGAGGGGGAUGGAAUUCCGCGUGUAGCAGUGAAAUGCGUAGAUAUGCGGGGGAACACCGAUGGCGAAGGCAAUCCCCUGGACCUGUACUGACGCUCAUGCACGAAAGCGUGGGGAGCAAACAGGAUUAGAUACCCCUGUAGUCCCUGUCUCUUAUACCC
RNAcentral lists this ribosomal RNA (301 nucleotides) under uncultured bacterium. RNAcentral's name for it is "partial 16S ribosomal RNA". It matches the Rfam family "Bacterial small subunit ribosomal RNA", at positions 509 to 809 of the family's 1533-position model. The record is from RNAcentral.